This 2468-nucleotide ribosomal RNA is filed under the name Triticum aestivum (bread wheat). Its description in RNAcentral is "partial small subunit ribosomal RNA". Lineage: Eukaryota; Viridiplantae; Streptophyta; Magnoliopsida; Poales; Poaceae. The record is from RNAcentral.
CCAAGGUUAACCAGCGACAAAAAAACCUAAACCUAUCGCCCGCUCCCUCGCGCCCCUGUUGCUCCCUCCCCGAUCCCGAUCUGGAUCGAGGGGACGAGGAGCUCCUGCCUCCCCGACGGCCGGCCUCCUCCUCGCCCCGCCGCUGCGUCCGGCGCCGCCACGGCCUCUGGAGCCAGGGAAGCCAUGGCCUGAGCUCGGCCUCGAGGUCCCCGUCGCCGUCUCCUGCAGCUUCUGCCCCGCCGCCGUCUCCUUCGCCCUCGCAGCCGCCGCCGAUCCCCUCCCUCAAACGCCGCUGCUGCCCGUCGGCGCCGCCCCGCCACCUCCCGUCGCGGGCAGGCGGGAGGAGCCCUGCCCGGCCUCCUCCUCCCCCUCACCUUCUCUCCCUCUCCCAAGGGAGGGAAGGGAAUGGGAGGGAUCCGGCGGCAAGGGGAGGCAGCGCCCAGAUCCGCAGCCGCACCGGCGGGCCGCCGUCCCUCGAGAUCGUCCAUGGAGGUCCGACCCGGCUACAGCCAUGGACUGAGACGCCCGAAUCCCUAGCUACCCGUGGAGGUCCGACGCCUCAACCUCCAAGGAAAGGACGCGCGCCGGCUGCAGGCCAUCUCCGGCGACCUCCGACCAUGGUUGCUCGGAUCUGGACCAGCUGCUGCUCCUACUGCUUCAGGUGGACGAGGACGAGCCCUCCCUCAUUGCUGCUGCGGCUGCCUACUCCCUCCUCCUACCAUUUGGCCUGGUGUGAGUGGUGGAGUUAAUGAGCCGGGAUGAAGUUCGAGAAGUUGCAUUACGCCGUGUAAAUAUUAAUGAGCUGUGGAAGACAAGUGCACCGAUGCUAUCUUGCGUACGACUGAGCAGUCUCGCAUAUACUUCAACCCAGACAUCAACGCAACAAAUAACUUGAUUAUAAGGAACAAAUGUCAUGUGAAGCAAAUAAUUUCCUUAGAAAAAAGAGGGCCAAGAAAAAGACGCAAAAGCAUAGCUUGCUCCUUGAUUCCAGUUUCUGCAGCCACCAUUGAUAAGCAUGGACUGAGCAAAUGAGUAUCAAAAGGAAGUGAAGGAAGCUUCGUCCUCUGGGUUGCUUGCGAUGUAGUUCUCCAGCAGCUUCAGCGCCAAGUUGUAAACUUAUGCAUUUGGGGCUAUUAAAGGGAGGCAAUUGACGUGCAUUUCAAGAGGAGUUAUUCUGUGGCAACCCACAGAGUCAUGUCUGAUCAUUAAAAGAAUUGGCCACGGAUCCCCACGGACGCCGCCGCCGCUGCGGAUCCCCACGGACGACGCAGACGCCGCCGAACAGAGCAGGGCAUGGUCGCGUUGCACUGAUUGGAGGAGACCGUGCCGGCCGUGCCCUGUUUGGAGGAUGAACACAGGUUCACCGCCAUGGCUAUGAGAGGACGCAUUUGUGGAAUCCCCUGCACGCAUCGGACGGAUCGAUUGUUUGAACGGGCGCAAGGAAAGAGAUCUAGGCCUGCUUGAGGGGGUGAGCUGACAUGGGAGACCCGAGCUGCUGUUCAUCUCCUGCUGCUGCUAUAUUGACCUCUACUUGAAGUCAGGAGCCAAAUUGAAGAUCAAAUUCAGGCUUUCAAAAGUGAGGCUGGGGCGCGGAGGUGAUGCCAAAUUGGCGUGUGAAUGUAAGGAUUGAAAUGAGAUAGUUAUCUUCUUUCAGUUGUUUGCUUCUGCUUAUUGAUAGAGAUAAUUAUUCCCUAUUUAGUAGAUUCUCUCACAUGUUAAUAUUGGGAAUUAUCUAUGGUUCAUUUGGUGUUCAUAUCUCCAUCCUAGCGACCGCUUUGUCCAUGGCAUUUUUAUCGCAUCCACCCAGAUUAGUAUGAAACGAGAAUGCACAUCUAUGUUGUAUUUGCUGCCGUAUGUUGUUUGCAUCAAAAACGUUCUUUGCAUGAUGAACACGGCAGCAAUUCAUUCUUCGAAGAAGUGAAGCGAUGUAAAAAAUGUGCAUCGGCGGCCGCCGAGUGAUCACCCGUCAUUUUUCGUAGUCCUCUUAGUCAUGUACUAGCACAGAUGUUGUGCACGAAAGUAGGAGCAAUCAAGUUGUUUUUUCUCUGACAUGGAGGCAAGCUGGCCUUGUUGUGCUAUGCUCAUCUCAAAUUUUAUGCUACGUCUACUUAUUUUAGCUAAACGUAGGUUUUGGCAGCAAGAAACACUUGCAAAUGUAUGUCUUCUUGAUAUAAGUAUCUGUUCUAGAAGAUAAAUAUAGAUAGCCGUCACAAUAACCGGGGAUAUAAAUAUUUGCACUAGAAGAUAGAUAUUUAUAGUGGUCACAAUAACUGAAUCUGUUGUGUACUACAAUAUUUUUAUUCAGAAGAAGACAUGAUUAUAUGUUUUUAUGUAGUUUUAGUAUCUGAGUCGAACUUUCUUAAUUUGUAAAAAGAUAGUUGUAAUUGAUUGAAGAAGCGUGUUACCUGAGAACCGAGGAUCUGAGAUGUGUGGUAGCUGAGACAUGCAUUGUUCUCGGUUAUUUUAGC